AAAACUUUCAACAACGGAUCUCUUGGCUCCAGCAUCGAUGAAGAACGCAGCGAAACGCGAUAUGUAAUGUGAAUUGCAGAAUUCAGUGAAUCAUCGAAUCUUUGAACGCACAUGGCGCCUUCCAGUAUCCUGGGAGGCAUGCCUGUCCGAGCGUCGUUU
Molecule: ribosomal RNA, 159 nt
Filed under: Chlamydosporiella restricta
Lineage: Eukaryota; Fungi; Ascomycota; Sordariomycetes; Glomerellales; Plectosphaerellaceae
Also listed under: 3 other names
Description: Acremonium restrictum 5.8S ribosomal RNA
Rfam family: 5.8S ribosomal RNA
About the family: 5.8S ribosomal RNA (5.8S rRNA) is a component of the large subunit of the eukaryotic ribosome.
Source: RNAcentral